AGUGCCGAGCCAGGCAGCGAUGUUGUUUUCGUUCUUUGUGGAAGUGGGUCAGCGGCGGGUCCGGGUUCGGGUUCGGGAUCGGGAUCGGGAUCGGGAGGGGGUCCUCGCCCCCUUGGACGGGGAGCCGGAGACGGAUUAUUCUCUGCGGGGCAACACCAACAAUUUCCAUUCAACCUGCUGUGAGAGGUUUAUUGGAAAAAAAAACCCAACUGGAAGCAAACCACGGCUGAAGAUGUAGGAACAGCAACAAGUGAACUGGCCCGAGGACUGAGAACAUCAACUGGAGAGAACAACACUGAAUCAGGUGACUUGGAGUUCCCAGUGAGUCAGUGAGGAGGAAGUUUGGUGAGUCUCAUUUACUCAGACACUGGUCCUUUAUACAUUACAUGCCUGUACAUUAGAAGGUGGGAAAUAGUUGGUGUUUGAAGUCAUUCUGACAAAAUGUUAUUAACCUGAAUUGUAAAGUUUGUUCCUGUCCCCACAGCUGUUCCUUACCUGCUGAGCAGUUUGGUAAUUCCAAUUUCUUUUUAUUACAUUCACUCUGGAUUAGUUUAUGUUUCCUGAAUUGUACCUGUUUUAAUGUGGGAGUGGAAAUGGCUCACUCUGUGAUAGUAGAACAGUAAAGUAACCACAACUUUUCCCUGCAAAUUACCCUGGUGCCAAUUAGAUUGUUAUUCCUAGAAAUGUGUUCAGUACAGUUGUUGUGAACAAGGCUUACAAGAAUAAUCUCAGGAAUGUUCGGCAUUAUGUAUGAGGAGCAUUUGAUUGUUCUGGACCAGUGCUCAAUGGAGUUCAUCAGGACGGUGGGAGUGGUGGGGGAUGUAUGGUUAAGUAAACCUACCAAAUGCUGAAAAGCCUGGAUACGGUGGACACAGAGAGGAUGUUUCCAUUAGACUGUGAUCUGACAGCGCAGUCUCAGAAUAAAGAAGCUUCCCUUUAAAACUGAGAGGAGAAAAAAAAAAUUGGCCAGAAGAUGUCUGAUCUGUGGAAUUUGUUGCCACAGAGGUUGGUUGAAGCUGCUAUUUGGGUAUAUUUAUGACAGAGAUGAACAUAUUGAUGAUUGCUCAGCAGCUCAGGGUUACAGGAGGAAGGCAGGAAUGUGGUGUUGGAAUGAAAAUCAGCCAUGGUUAAAUGGUGGGGCAGACCAGUUGGACCAAAUCACAUAAUUCUGUUCCUGACUGAAUGAUGGCUCCUCCUUAUCCCAUAUUGUUUUGUGAUGUGUGAGUGACAAUAAAAAAUAUGUUUACUGAAAUCAUUAUAUCAGCCUUCAACGUUUUGUUCUUAGUAACAUUCAGCAGAAAUGUUUGGUUCUCCUUUUUAUUGGAAGAAAAACCCCAACUAGAAGCAAACCACGGCUGAAGACGAGGGAACAGCAACAAGUGCACCAGCCUGAGGACUGAGAGCAUUAACUGGAGAGAUCAACUCUGCCUCAGGAGAAUCGGAGAUUCCAUUGAUUCAGUCAGGAGAAAGUUUGUCUCUUUCAGGGAGCGAUGAACUUGGUGUCUAAGAUCCCGCUGAUCAUCGACACUGUUCAGGGUUUUGCAUUUAACAGUGUACUGUCUCAUACAUUCGACCUACCGAGCUGCCAAGAUGAUCAUCACUAAUCAAAUCUCACUGAGAUUUCUCAGGUCCUGUUGAAUUUAUUGCCAAGUGCACAAGUACGGGAAGGUACAGGUACAAAGAAACACUGACUUGUGGCAGCAUCACAGACAAGUACAUUCAGUUAACACACGGAACACAAAUUAUACGAUUCUCUGUCAGUAACAAUCUAUAAAUAUGCUUUAUGACAUUAACAACAUAUAAAACACAUUGGGCCAUGAUCAAUAUUAAAAUGAUUUGUGUCAAUAACAGUCUUGGAAAUGUUGAAUUCGGUCCCUGUCUCCAUUCCUCCUGUAAUCCACAACCAGCUCCUUUGUUUUUGUCACAAUGAGGGAGAGGUUGUUUUCUUGACACCACUGUGUCGGGGUGAUGACUUCUUCUCUGUCGGCUGCCUCGUUAUUGUUUGGGAUUCGGCCGAUCAAAGUAGUGCCGUCAGCAAAUCUAAUUAGCAGAUUGGAACCCCCCACUGCAGCCCCACAGUGCACUAUGUACUGAUUGCAAAGCUACGAAAUUGCAUGUGAAUAGCCUCCCCUCCCCCAACUCCACUCUUUCUGCCUCACCAGCAGACUGGGACAUCUCACAUCUCGCUGCCUCCGCCAGGACAUUAAACUGUGAACAACUGUGGUCAGGGACUGCUCUCUGGGGUACUCCAAACACUACCUCCUUCCAGUCUGUAAACGACCCACUCAUCCAGACACACACUACCGGCAGUUUAUCGAUCUCCAACGAAAAAGCCUUAUCACCUACUCCCGAUGUUCAAUACCAUUGCUGACUCUGAUUUUACCACUUCAAAUGCCAGGAGGGACCAUCUGGUCCCUUCCCAUGAUUCUGUUCCAUAUCAGUAUAUGAAAAUACAUCCCUGCCUUUCUCCUCUCGCGUUCCCUGAGAUGACAGGUUGCAACUAGUCACCACUCCAAGGGAUAGGAGAUUGCCAUUGAAUUUCAUAGAAUCAGAGAAAUCUACAGCACAUUGCAGACAGUUUGGCCUUUAUCUUAGUCCCAACUGCUUAGAAUUACCCUACCACAUAGCCACCUAUUUUCCUAAGAUCCAUGUACCUAUCUGAGUCUCUUAAAAGAUCCUAUUUUAUCCGACUCUACCAUAUCGCUGGCACUGCAUUCCAUAAACACACACCACUGUUGUUUAAAAAUCUUAGCUCUGACAUCUCCUCUGUACUUACUUCCAAGCAGUUUAAACCUAUUCCCCCUCGUGUUAGCCGUUUCUGCCCUGGGGAAAGCCUCUGGCUAUCCACACGACCAAUGCCUCUCAUCAUCUUAUACACCUGCAUGAAUUUCCUGCAUGAUUUUCUCCGGGCUGAACAAGAGGAUGAGCUCACUGUGGUUGUGACGUUGUUCAGGGCCCCGGACGAAGUUGGUUAAACUCCUUCUUCCCCGCUCUUUUCAAUGUUUUAGGUCAUUCUCACUAAUUUCAAAGGUCUUCGCUUCGAACUGCUGGGUUGUUACAAUGAACAUCUGAAGUCUGACAGCAGACUAGCGAGUGAAUGGAGCAGAGUCAGAAACCAAGUUGCCAGUCAGAGAUUUGGGGCUCCAGAAAGAGAUGGGGCCUGGUUUACAAGGAGGAGGAAGAAGAGAAACCGAACCUGCAGGAUGUGGCUACAAAUGAAAGAUCAGACACAUUUGGAAUCUGCUUGAUUGGAAAAAAAGGUGGUUAAUUUCUGCAAAAUACUGGAGGAAAUCAACAGAUCAGGCAGCAAAUGUGGAGAGGAAUAAAUAGACAACGUUUACGCCGAGCCCCUUCAGCAUGCCUAGACUGUGUACUCCUCUGCUUAGUUGCUACCUGA
Long non-coding RNA from Hypanus sabinus (Atlantic stingray), 3397 nucleotides. RefSeq lists it as uncharacterized. The record is from RefSeq and is a predicted model, not a curated record. Lineage: Eukaryota; Metazoa; Chordata; Chondrichthyes; Myliobatiformes; Dasyatidae. The transcript has 3 exons.